This 444-nucleotide ribosomal RNA is filed under the name uncultured bacterium. Its description in RNAcentral is "SSU rRNA". It matches the Rfam family "Bacterial small subunit ribosomal RNA", at positions 26 to 518 of the family's 1533-position model. The record is from RNAcentral.
AGAGCGAACGCUGGCGGCAGGCCUAACACAUGCAAGUCGAGCGCCCCGCAAGGGGAGCGGCAGACGGGAGAGUAACACGUGGGAACGUACCCUUCAGUUCGGAACAACCCAGGGAAACUUGGGCUAAUACCGGAUACGUCCGUAAGGAGAAAGAUUUAUCGCUGAAGGGUCGGCCCGCGUCUGAUUAGCUAGUUGGUGGGGUAAUGGCCCACCAAGGCGACGAUCAGUAGCUGGUCUGAGAGGAUGAUCAGCCUCAUUGGGACUGAGACACGGCCCAAACUCCUACGGGAGGCAGCAGUGGGGAAUAUUGGACAAUGGGCGCAAGCCUGAUCCAGCCAUGCCGCGUGGAUGAUGAAGGCCUUAGGGUUGUAAAGUCCGUUUCGGCGGGAAGAUAAUGACGGUACCCGCAGAAGAAGCCCCGGCUAACUUCGUGCCAGCAGCCGC